GAGUUUGAUCCUGGCUCAGAGCGAACGCUGGCGGCAGGCCUAACACAUGCAAGUCGAGCGGCCGUAGCAAUACGGCAGCGGCAGACGGGAGAGUAACACGUGGGAACGUGCCCUUCGGUUCGGAAUAACUCAGGGAAACUUGAGCUAAUACCGGAUACGCCCUAACGGGGAAAGAUUUAUUGCCGAAGGAGCGGCCCGCGUCUGAUUAGCUAGUUGGUGAGGUAAUGGCUCACCAAGGCGACGAUCAGUAGCUGGUCUGAGAGGAUGACCAGCCUCACUGGGACUGAGACACGGCCCAGACUCCUACGGGAGGCAGCAGUGGGGAAUAUUGGACAAUGGGCGCAAGCCUGAUCCAGCAAUGCCGCGUGGAUGAUGAAGGCCUUAGGGUUGUAAAGUCCUUUCGGCGGGGACGAUGAUGACGGUACCCGCAGAAGAAGCCCCGGCUAACUUCGUGCCAGCAGCCGCGGUAAU
RNAcentral lists this ribosomal RNA (471 nucleotides) under uncultured Alphaproteobacteria bacterium. RNAcentral's name for it is "bacterial SSU rRNA". It matches the Rfam family "Bacterial small subunit ribosomal RNA", at positions 9 to 524 of the family's 1533-position model. The record is from RNAcentral. Lineage: Bacteria; Pseudomonadati; Pseudomonadota; Alphaproteobacteria.